Molecule: ribosomal RNA, 587 nt
Filed under: Escherichia coli
Lineage: Bacteria; Pseudomonadati; Pseudomonadota; Gammaproteobacteria; Enterobacterales; Enterobacteriaceae
Description: partial 23S ribosomal RNA
Rfam family: Bacterial large subunit ribosomal RNA
Source: RNAcentral
CCAACCCGAUGCAAACUGCGAAUACCGGAGAAUGUUAUCACGGGAGACACACGGCGGGUGCUAACGUCCGUCGUGAAGAGGGAAACAACCCAGACCGCCAGCUAAGGUCCCAAAGUCAUGGUUAAGUGGGAAACGAUGUGGGAAGGCCCAGACAGCCAGGAUGUUGGCUUAGAAGCAGCCAUCAUUUAAAGAAAGCGUAAUAGCUCACUGGUCGAGUCGGCCUGCGCGGAAGAUGUAACGGGGCUAAACCAUGCACCGAAGCUGCGGCAGCGACGCUUAUGCGUUGUUGGGUAGGGGAGCGUUCUGUAAGCCUGUGAAGGUGUGCUGUGAGGCAUGCUGGAGGUAUCAGAAGUGCGAAUGCUGACAUAAGUAACGAUAAAGCGGGUGAAAAGCCCGCUCGCCGGAAGACCAAGGGUUCCUGUCCAACGUUAAUCGGGGCAGGGUGAGUCGACCCCUAAGGCGAGGCCGAAAGGCGUAGUCGAUGGGAAACAGGUUAAUAUUCCUGUACUUGGUGUUACUGCGAAGGGGGGACGGAGAAGGCUAUGUUGGCCGGGCGACGGUUGUCCCGGUUUAAGCGUGUAGGCUGG